Molecule: long non-coding RNA, 4978 nt
Organism: Callithrix jacchus (white-tufted-ear marmoset)
Lineage: Eukaryota; Metazoa; Chordata; Mammalia; Primates; Cebidae
Source: Ensembl
AUAUGUUUUGUUGAUGAUGGAGAACUUUGAAAAGAAGUUUUGUUUUGUUUUUAAAUACACCCUCAUAGAUCCAAUGCAGUUGAGACGGCGACCAAAGCCAAUUUCCCUAGAAACGCCAAAUCAAAAACACGUGGUGAGGCUCUGACCUGGAGUGCUUCAUCCUAAAUAACGCAUUUUAUAAACCCUGAAAAAUAAAAAGACUCAAAAGAACAUUCUGGGCCCGCACGGCUGCUUUUCAUCCCUUUCAUCACUAGGUGUCCCCGUGGUUAGCAAAUCCCAUCUGGAAUGCUGCGUCCUUGUACAUCCUUCCUGGAAGGCAGGUGGGGGAUAGUCAGCCACACUGGGGGCGCUUUUUGCCCGGUGGGGCGGGGAGGGGGCGGGGCUUCCUGAAGGGGCGGGGCUUGUGUGCGGGCAGAGCCACUCAUCUGACACAGAGGAGGAGCCAUCCUUGAACUGACAGGCCUGGGUGGAAUCAGCAUGGAGAGACUAAAACGUGAAAGGAACACUGUCAGAAACCAAUUUCCACCGCAGGAAAUGAGCGUGGCCUAGAAUAGAUGCAGAGCAUGAUUAAACUGCAGGACGGGCUCGGGAGGGAGGCUGAGCGGGCACUCAUCUCCCGGGAGGCGCCCCAGACCUACGCUGGGGCCACUGCUGAGUCAGAUCCCCGGAGGCGGUUCUUUGCAGAUGUCGCAGAGAAACAGGAUGCUGUGAGUCUUUUUGGUUCACAAAACAAGAUCCUUUGGAACAAGACAUGCGAUAUUGGAUCUAUACACUGAAUGCCAGGAUGUGACCGACUGGGAAGCAAUGUUGGACUAGGCAUGUUCGGUGCAGGAGCCAGGAAGUUAUAUAACAAAUGAACAUCUCUCUGGCUCAAGGGGCAACUGCAGCAUGCGCAGCACUGGCAGUGGUGCCUCAGAGGUGGCAGGACUAUUUCACACUGACCAGUUUAGGACUACACAAGGUUACCACCAUCCAGCAUCAGGAUGUAGCUGUAGGACUUUACAAACCGCUCCUAUUUCUGGCUUCAGGAAUUGAGGUUUUUCCCAGUCCAUCUUAAAGUAUGACUGCUUUCAUCACAGAUCGGAUAAAACGGACAGCAUGCACAACCUCCAGCUAAAAUCCUGUUGUGGCCUAGACAGUGAAAUGGUGUGACCUCAGAAGACUUUAAAACUGCAGCUCUUUUUGGAUCCCCCGAAGUAUAUCCACACUCUUCUUCAAACGAGCCUCUUCCUCAGGAGUCAGAGUCACCUUCACAACGUCUGAGAUUCCAUUCUGUCCCAAAAUGCAGGGAACACUAAGGAAGACAUCAUCCUUUAUUCCACAGAGACCCUUAAUCAUGGUGGAAAUUGGGUGCACCCGCCUAAGAUUCUUCAUGAUAGUCUCAGCCAAAUCUGCCACAGAGAGUCCAGUGGCCCAGGAUGUGUAGCCUUUGAGUUUGAUCCCCUCAUAAGCACUCUCAGCUACCUGCUUGUGCACCUCUUCCCACUGUUCCUUAUCUGGAUCAGUCCCUAAAUCUGGGUGCAGCGUCUUCAGGGAGACACCAGCCACAUUCACUCCACUCCACACAGGCACACUGGAAUCUCCAUGUUCCCCGAGGACCCACCCAUGACAGCUUAAUGGGUGAACUCCCAGCCUUUCCCCCAUCAGGUAAUGGAAUAAGGCUGAAUCUAGAUUGCAACCACUUCCAAUAACACAGUUUUGGGGAAAGCCACUUAUCUUCCAAGCCACAUAGGUCAAGAUAUCCACUGGAUUUGAAACAAUAAGCAACUUGCAGUGCGGGCUGUAUUUUACGACAUUAGGAAUGAUGAGUUUAAAGAUGUUCACGUUAAGCUGGACCAGAUGAAGACGGCUUUCUCCCUCCUGCUGAUGUGCCCCGGCGUGGUAAUGACCAGCUUGGAGUUUGCAGUUACAUUAUGGUCUUUGCCAGAGACAAUCUUUGGCAAAGGCUGCCAUGUUGGAGAUCCAUCUCUCCCUUCAACUUGUCUUCAAUGACAUCAACAAGAGCAAGUUCAUCUGCCAGGUCCUUCGUUAAGAUACCGAUGGCACAGGCCAUACCGACAGCACCAACCCCAACAACUGUAAUCUUAUUCUGGGGGGUCUGUUCUUCCUUUAGAAGAUUAUGAAUCAGCUGAUCCUUGAGAGUUGCCAUUUUGGACUUGGAACGAAAAGGAACCAGGAAUGCACGUCGGGCGGGCAUCGGGGGCGCACAGCAGUGGGAUCCGGACUCGGCGGCAGCUGCUCUAGCCAAAAGUACUUAACUUUAAAAGAUCAGCCUCAAUUCACAUUCCCGUCAUUUCUCUACCUCCAGGCAGCAUAGGCCCUCACGCGGGGAAUGGAAACAAAUAUGAUGUAAGCAACUCACAAACUCAGACUUUGAAACGACCCACUGUUCUCCAAGCACAGGUUCAUUCUCCACUCAUUUCCCUGUGACUGGAAGUCACAACUAUUUCUGAAAUGGAAGCAGGUGACAUGCACCCCGUGAACCGAUAGUCAGUGACUGAUAGUGAGUGCUGACUGUAUCCAGGCAAAAGAGCGGAGAGACGUCCUCUCCUCAAGGUUUUCUGAAAGGAUGUGGGCCACCAGCUGCCAUCGCAGUUCACUGUUCACAGUUGCUGAAAGAGGGCAUGACGUUUUUGCUGUCUUCCAUUCAUGGUACCACAGCAGAGAACAAUCCAUUCGGUUUAACCAACGCUAACGCAUAUGUUCAUUGCCUGUGAAUCAGACUUAGUAUUGAAGGUUAAAUUAAAAUCUGACUCUCAACUAUCUCACUGCACUCCGGCGCUUCUGCUCAGCUAAAUCCAUAGACACGAGUAGAAGGAAAUUUGGACUUUAGUUAAUCUAGUAGUUACCAGGGUUUUGGAUCUCACAGGCUGAUAAAUUUUAUAAAAAAGAUUUGGGGCCAGGUGCGGUGGCUCACGCCUAUAAUCCCAGCAUUUUGGGAGACCGAGGUGGGUGGAUCACCUGAGGUCAAGAGUUCAAGACCAGCCUGGCCAACAUGGUUAAACCCAUCUCUACAAAAUUACAAAAAUUAGCCAGGUAUGAUGGCAGGUGCCUGUGAUCCUAGCUACUGAGAUUGUGCCACUGCCCUCCAGCCUGGGUGACAGAGCAGGACUUAUCUCAAAAAAAAAAAGAAAAAAAAAAGGUUUGAAGACCUGUAUUGAGUUGCUUUUUAUUCACUCAAAUGGAGUAAUUAGAACACGUAUCACCCAUCUCACCGCCGUGAUAGAAUUCACAUGCGAAGUAAAUUAUAACAAAACAGAACUUCUCAGCAUUUUAAUGAAAAUAAAUUAGCUUUAGGACAAAAUCAUUACUUUCUUGUUGUGGUGGUUUUCUUGUUUCUACAUCAACCUGUGAAAAUGGAUAUUUUUCCACAGUCCAGCACCAGUUCUUGCACUAGAAUUUGAGAACCCCUGACUUAAAUCAGUGAUUUACAUCCCUCCUGCCCUUAUUUACAAAGGAGGAAGCUGGCCCUGAGGGGACCCCAAGCGCUGCCCCAUGAAAGGUUCCAGCCCACAGUGCAGAAUAGCCCCGGUUGGGGCUGAGGCUUCUGAACCCACGUUCAAUGCACCUGCCCUCUGUCUUGUUGCCAUGAGUCCCUGCAGGGCCCAACGAGGGCACCCAACACUCCAGUUACGUGACUGGCACCAUGCCAUCUGGGAACACUGAAGGAGGAUGGCUGAGGGACACAGGAGGAGAAACAGGGGGACCUGUCCCUUUCUCCAGCCCACAAGCCCUGGGCUGGAUUCUGAGAUGGGCUCUUCCUCCUGACGGCAAGCCUCGAUCUUCAGGUACUCUUUAGUUGGGCACAUUGAGGCUUUCAGACCAUUGGGAAAUAUUUUGUGUACUACUAAUUCUUACAAUGUCCAUUCCUCUGCCUCCCUCUCCUGCGUGAAGACUGGCCGUUAUUACCCACAGCAGAAGACUGAAACUGAGGCUGGCACUGUGGCAUGACCGCCCAGCCUCCUCCGAGCUGGUGCUUCUGCCUGGCUCUUGCAAAUACACAGCCCUUGCUUGCCCCCAACACAGCACUGCUUUCAGUGAUGGCAUCUUUUUCUUUUUCUUUUUUUUUUUUAGAUAAAGACAACUAAAAAAUAGCUUGGGUAGGUAAGCCGUAGACAAUGCUGAAAUUCUGUAUAUGCAAAGGAAUGGAUGUCUUCAGUUGGGUGUAUCCACACAACAAAAAAGAGAUGUGAUUUAAAAGAUUUGGAUUCAGGGAUAUCCUUGUCCAGUUACCAACCAGUUAUUCUAGGGGAACCCCCUCCCUAAGUUUGGAAAAAGAAUCGGGAUACAAAGGAUAGGGCCUUUUCUUCCUGCCAAGCAGUGUGUGUUCUUCCAGCUUAGAGGGCAGGAGGUCUCAACGCAUGCCCGGGGCCAAGGCCGAGCUCCCCCAAAAUCCUCAGGAGGGCGGGGACCAGUGAACCUGCCCACUGCUCUUCUGCACGCCCUGCUCCCUCCACACACACGUGCCCUGUCCAUUUGUGCAUUUGAGCAUCUGUGGUAAGACCUCUGAGUAAUUCAAAGAGGAAGUCAGAGAGCAUGCUCCAAACCCGUGCCCUGGGUUGGCCUGUCCCUCUCAAGGCUCUUUCCCAGGCAGGAAAUCUUCCUCACCUUCUGGUCUGAGGAUCAUGGAAAGAAGGACUCUUCUGUGUGCUCCACUGUUCUGCUGAAACAAGCCACCUCUGUGCUGGGAGAAAGGAACCCAUGGGUGUCGACGGCUUCAUUUCUGGGCACACGGGGGCUUCUUGGCUUCCCCAGGCAGGAUGUAGAGCACACUGGGGACUAGCCCCAGUUCCAGAGGAGCGAUGGUGUCCCUAAGUGCCUGCUUGCGCUUCCAGGAUGUAGCCUCUUCUCCAGAAGAGGAGGAGGAGCUCACCAACCUUCGAUAUUGUAAUGGGCCAAAUCAUGUCCCCAGAAUUCCUAUGUUGAAGCUCUAGGCCCCAGUACCCCAGAUUGGGACUGCAUUUGGAGAUAGGCCUUU